CGGAAUUAGAGACCGGCGCACGGGUGCGUAACGCGUAUGCAAUCUACCUUUCACAGAGGGAUAGCCCAGAGAAAUUUGGAUUAAUACCUCAUAGUAUAUCGAGUUGGCAUCAACAUGAUAUUAAAGUCACAACGGUGAAAGAUGAGCAUGCGUCCCAUUAGCUAGUUGGUAAGGUAACGGCUUACCAAGGCAACGAUGGGUAGGGGUCCUGAGAGGGAGAUCCCCCACACUGGUACUGAGACACGGACCAGACUCCUACGGGAGGCAGCAGUGAGGAAUAUUGGACAAUGGGCGCAAGCCUGAUCCAGCCAUGCCGCGUGCAGGAUGACGGUCCUAUGGAUUGUAAACUGCUUUUGCACAGGAAGAAACACUACUUCGUGAAGUAGCUUGACGGUACUGUGAGAAUAAGGAUCGGCUAACUCCGUGCCAGCAGCCGCGGUAAUACGGAGGAUCCGAGCGUUAUCCGGAAUCAUUGGGUUUAAAGGGUCCGUAGGCGGUUUAGUAAGUCAGUGGUGAAAGCCCAUCGCUCAACGGUGGAACGGCCAUUGAUACUGCUAAACUUGAAUUAUUAGGAAGUAACUAGAAUAUGUAGUGUAGCGGUGAAAUGCUUAGAGAUUACAUGGAAUACCAAUUGCGAAGGCAGGUUACUACUAAUGGAUU
Molecule: ribosomal RNA, 660 nt
Filed under: uncultured bacterium
Lineage: Bacteria
Description: bacterial SSU rRNA
Rfam family: Bacterial small subunit ribosomal RNA
Source: RNAcentral